This 21-nucleotide microRNA is filed under the name Picea abies (Norway spruce). RNAcentral describes it as "pab-miR11471". The record is from miRBase by way of RNAcentral. Lineage: Eukaryota; Viridiplantae; Streptophyta; Pinopsida; Pinales; Pinaceae.
CUUUGGGAUGUCACUGUGUCU